UGGGGGAUAUUGCACAAUGGGCGAAAGCCUGAUGCAGCGACGCCGCGUGGGGGAUGAAGGCCUUCGGGUUGUAAACUUCUUUUGCUCUGAACAAGGCAUGCCAAUGGGUGUGUUGAGUGUAGGGGUUGAUUAGCGCCGGCUAACUACGUGCCAGCAGCCGCGGUAAUACGUAGGGCGCGAGCGUUGUCCGGAAUUAUUGGGCGUAAAGGGCUUGUAGGUGGCUGGUUGCGUCUGUCGUGAAAGCUCAUGGCUUAACUGUGGGUUUGCGGUGGGUACGGGCUGGCUUGAGUGCAGUAGGGGAGGCUGGAAUUCCUGGUGUAGCGGUGGAAUGCGCAGAUAUCGGGAAGAACACCAAUGGCGAAGGCAGGUCUCUGGGCUGUUACUGACGCUGAGAAGCGAAAGCGUGGGGAGCGAACAGG
Molecule: ribosomal RNA, 419 nt
Filed under: Bacteroidota bacterium
Lineage: Bacteria; Pseudomonadati; Bacteroidota
Description: Bacteroidetes bacterium partial 16S ribosomal RNA
Rfam family: Bacterial small subunit ribosomal RNA
Source: RNAcentral